UACACCCUUUUACUAUAUUCCCCAAGUUCUUUUAUACAAUUUUAUUACAAAAUUGAAAAAAAAGGAAAGAAAAUAUAAAAUACAUCAAAACUACAGCUAGAUCCAAACCGCCUACUGCAACCUUAGUGUCUAAUAACAUGUGAUUAACCAACUUCCGAAAUUCAGAUUUCCAAAGCCUUCUCUUUAUCCAAAGUGUUUCAAAGUUCCAAGGAAUCUCCAAAAUUCCCGGCAUUGCUUACACUCAGGAUACCAUUAGAAUUAGAAUAGUGCAGUGUGGAAUAGCCAGCCCUUAGGCAUCCAAGUUCAGAGGGAUCUCAAGGUCCCAAAGCAUGGCUUGCAAGAGAGGGGCAGAACUUAGAUCUAGGAGCAAGUGCAAAGUGAUUUGGGAACCAUAACAAAUGGUGGUCAUACCCAGCCAUAGGUGCAGACUGGCACACCCAUGACCAUUUGCUUGGUCAAACAAGUUAGGAGCAGACCCUUGAGGGUCAGACCUGAGUCUGAAUGAUGAUUAGAACACCACCAGACCCAAGUCAGCCUCAGCACAUAAAAUGAGAAAGGGAAGUGGGAAUUGACUGAGUUAAGGAGUUCAAAAGAACUCAAUUCAGGGCUAUAGAAAGUAUAGUGCUGCUAUGGCUAGAACUACAACUCACACACAAAGGGGUAAAAAGGGAAGGGAUUCACAUAAGCAUAUUACUGGCAGAAACAUAAGGAAAGAAAUCAUAAAAGACUAGAAAAUAAACAUAUGGUGAAGGAAAGCAUAACAUACCAAGAGGUGAACACAUAGUGAAGAGGGCAUUAUUUAACUAGAACAUACCAGUUGCAAAAUAAUAAAAUAGCAGAACAGCAGAGUAAGCAAACAGUAGAAAUCAGUAAGAGCAUACUCAAGUUUGCAGCAGAACACUUGAGAGUUCAAGAGAACUCAAGAAUUUCUUAGAAGGUAAAAUGAGAGUAGAAAACAGAGUGCUUCAAUACUAUCAGUAAGAAAAGCAAUUUUCUCGGGAGAGAGUUCAGUGCAGAAGAAUUGUAUUUUCGAAUGCAGAAAAUAGUUGUGUAAGCAUGUGUGGAAGUAUUGAAUUGGAAGAGUAAGCAUGUCUUUAGUGCAAAGGGCACCCUCUUUUAAUAGUGCAGAAGACAAGUGAGAAGAAGGUAAGAAAAUAAUUUUGAAAGUCACUCACAAAGAUUUCCCUUCAACCAAGGGAUUGAUUUCAAAAGAGAAUGAUAAAUAUGGAAAGGGGAUAAUUUGAAAACCUUUUCCAGAGUAUCAUAAUAGGGGUAAAUACACAGGGCAUUAUUUAAGGAAAUAGUUCAACAGCAUAUGGUUUGGACGAAAUAAGGAAAGACAAUCAAUUAACAGUCAGUAAAAUCAAGAAUUGAGUCUUAGAUCGAAUGAAUCCAACCAAGAAAGGUGAAGAGAACC
RNAcentral lists this long non-coding RNA (1417 nucleotides) under Nicotiana benthamiana. RNAcentral describes it as "long non-coding RNA (NBEN_LNC012799)". The record is from RNAcentral. Lineage: Eukaryota; Viridiplantae; Streptophyta; Magnoliopsida; Solanales; Solanaceae.